GUCUUUGGCAGAGGAGAUGGUGAAGCUAAUUUUCNAAAUAAGACAUCACGAUGGAUUAGUUCCAUUCUAGCCCGUGACCCAACAUAACUGCACUGUCAUGCCUUUAGUGGUUUUAUUUUUUGGGGGAUGCAGGGACUCACCAUUGGCCGUCAGAGGCCUCGUUCCAUUCAAUUCAAUUGUAGCUGGACUUAUUGGUCAAUAUUCUCGCUUUACAUAACUACUAUCUGCCAUAGUCGGGCUUAAUGCUCGAUAGACAAAAAAAAAGUUAAAACAGAAAUUCCAUAGUAGAUCCAAAUGCAAAAUAAACGUUUAACCAAUUAUCUUUUUCUCCGAACCUAAAUUAAAUCUUCUUAUCUGCUUUAAAUUUUAUUAACUUCUUUCUCAGUAGAUUAAACUUAUAAAUAAAUUUUGAUUAAAUCUCCUAUAUAACUAUACUAAUAAUACUUACAUAUAACUCUGUUUACCAAAUCUUAUAUAAGCAUAUCUCCCCAAAAUUCAUAUGUUAAUGUAGCUUAAUUUUAUAAAGCAAAGCACUGAAAAUGCUUAGAUGAGUAUUUAUACCCCAUAAACACAUAGGUUUGGUCCUGGCCUUUUCAUUAGCUUCUAGCUAACUUAUACAUGCAAGCAUCCCCGUCCCAGUGAGAAUACCCUCUAUAUCUACUAAUUGAUCAAAAGGUGCAGGCAUCAAGUUCACUAUUCCUGGUAGCUCAUAACGCCUUGCUCCACCACACCCCCACGGGAGACAGCAGUAAUUAAAAUUAAGCCUAUAAACGAAAGUUUGACUAAGUUAAGCUAAAUAAAGAGUUGGUAAAUUUCGUGCCAGCCACCGCGGUCAUACGAUUAACUCUAGUUAAUGAAACACGGCGUAAAGCGUGAUUAAGAGACUAAUCAGAUAAGAUUAAAAUAAUAUUAAACUGUAAAAAGUCUUGAUAAUUAUGAAAAUCAAAUACGAAAGUAAUCUUAAAUUUUCUGAAUUCACGAUAGCUAAGAUCAGGGCACACAUCUGUAAUCACAGCAGCUUGGGAGGUUGAGGUAGGAGAAUGGAAGGUUCAAAGUCAGCC
RNAcentral lists this long non-coding RNA (1061 nucleotides) under Marmota monax (woodchuck). The stretch from base 502 to 571 matches the Rfam family "tRNA". The record is from RNAcentral. Lineage: Eukaryota; Metazoa; Chordata; Mammalia; Rodentia; Sciuridae.